Molecule: long non-coding RNA, 1088 nt
Filed under: Heterocephalus glaber (naked mole-rat)
Lineage: Eukaryota; Metazoa; Chordata; Mammalia; Rodentia; Bathyergidae
Description: lncRNA (ENSHGLG00000035972.1)
Source: RNAcentral
CCCAAAGUGUGCUGCUCUCCCAUGGUGCCCAGCACCACAGCAAGCCACAGCUCACAGGCAGCCAAGCAAUGACCCGGGUAAACAACUGGCAUUCUACAGUGUACAGCGUUGCCAAGCAGAUUAUUCUUCUCUUCCUGAUUGGUGUUGGGCUCAAUCACGUGACUGGCUUUGGCCAAUGGGAUUGCAGGAGUGCAGUUCUCUGCACCUUGUCAUUCAGCCAAUGGGAUGGCAGCAGACAUGAGACAAGAGGAGGCUUUCAGUCUGCCUAAGGGGCAAGGCUUGCCCUUUUGUGCCUUGAACAUUCUGAUGAGAAGAGCUUCUGCCAGGCAGCUGCGACCCUUUAGCCUGGCCUCACAUGGAGCACCUCGGGAGCACAGCUCACAUGCCAGGACCAGGAGCUUGAAGCAGAGCUGCCCAGCCAUGCCUAGCCUAGAAGGUCACCUGUCAGCUGAUCCACAGAUAAAUAAAUGAGCCCAGAUGAAAUCAGCAAAAUGUGCCCAGCUACUCCCAGACUCAUUAGAAAUAAAUGCUUCAUGUCUGAUGCCACUGUGAUUUUUGUAAUGUUUGUUAUGCAGCACUCUUGUGGGAAGAGCUGACUGAUACAAAGGCUUCAAUAAGAAACAUAUCAUACUCUGUGAUUCAGAUUUACAAAAUUAAUUAUAACAAAAUAUUUAGAAAAUACUUAAACACCUGCCAGAUACUAUUUUAAGUGCUCCAUAUAUACUUAGUCAUUUAAUCCUUAUGACAAGCCUAUACAGUACAUAUUAUUAAGGUGGAGAAACUGAGGCACAGAGAAGUUAAACAAUUUUCCCUAGGCUACAUAGUAAAUGAUUACACUACAGUGGUUCAAACAGGUCUGGGUUCAUAGUCCAUUGUUAACUACACCUUAAUAUGAUCUGUUCUAGUGAUGUUAAACCUUUCAGAGCUUUCAAUGAUACAAACAGCCCACUGCAGCAUGCAUGCCAUAGGUUCGCCACCACUGAUCUAAUGCACUCUGCUACUUUUAUAAACAUCUAGUGGUCAUACAACACUGUAUGCCUGGAUAUAUACCAUUUUUAUUUGUCAACUGUGCCUCAAUAAAGCUGAAC